Camelus dromedarius (Arabian camel) is the source of this 1039-nucleotide long non-coding RNA. RefSeq lists it as uncharacterized. The transcript has 3 exons. NCBI's taxonomy places the organism in Eukaryota, Metazoa, Chordata, Mammalia, Artiodactyla, Camelidae. The record is from RefSeq and is a predicted model, not a curated record.
GUAAACCAUGCGGCAAAGAAACAGUCCCCUGUGAAUUAACAGGGUUAUAGAGGCGUCAGCCUGCCCUCCCCGGUCCAGGAAGCAGACGCGACGCUCGUUUGGGUCUCCAGCCGGGGGUCCGUGUGGCAGAUCCUCCUGCGCAUGGUGCGGGGGUGGCGGGGUCCUUGGCACAGCGUGGCCCUGGACCACAUGUGACAGCCGCUGCUCUGUGCGCUGCCCGCCAAGGCCUCUGUGUGGCAUAAAUGCGGUGCACGGCCGGCUGCGGCAGAGCUCCGGGACCUGGACUCGGACUCUCCUCUGCGCUCCCAGGCUCCGCUCGCCCCGCCGGCCCCUGAGAACCCGGACCCCGAGGCUGACCAGCCUGUCCCCACGGACCCCGCGGACCCCGCACGGACCCUCCCGGGACCUGCAGCACGCUGCUCGCUGUUCCUUUUUCCUAUGCAUAUACUUCUUUGAGGGUCGGGCCUAAAGAGGUGUAGGGCAUGGGAAAACGGGGCGGCGAGGUCCUCCCGCCCGCAGAGCCUGCUCCGGCCGCCAACCUGUGUCUGGACCUGCCUCCACGUCCCUCACGUAGGAUCAGGGACCCCGAGGCAAGGGGGUCCUGGCCCUCCUCCUCUGGCCAGGGUUGGGGCAGUGGGUAACCUUUGCUUCUGUGUGUGCCCUGGAGCAGUGGACGGCGUGGUCCAGCCCCACCCACCGGCUGGUCUGCGCCCCCACAUGGUGGGGGGUGCUGUGCAGAUCCCAGCUCUGUGGUGACUCUCGCUGGGGCAGCCCUAAAGAGUUACAGAAGGUGCCGGAACAGGAGCUGGGACAGUCCCCUGGGGCCACUGUGGAGCAGGGGUGGGGUGGGGGUGGGUCUGAGUCUAGAUGUGGAGCCAUGAGGGUCUGAUGUGCCGAAAAGCUGGGGGAGGAGCGACUGUCAGGGGUUGGGGGGGAGCUGCUUCUGACAGCGUCACUGCACUUGUGAUGAUGAGUCUGAGUGGAUUUUCUGAUCAGAAAUACCAAUAAAGCUGAUUCCGUGUGAACCGCAGCGUGGAAA